This 429-nucleotide ribosomal RNA is filed under the name uncultured bacterium. RNAcentral describes it as "bacterial SSU rRNA". It matches the Rfam family "Bacterial small subunit ribosomal RNA", at positions 355 to 776 of the family's 1533-position model. The record is from RNAcentral.
UGGGGAAUUUUGGACAAUGGGGGCAACCCUGAUCCAGCAAUGCCGCGUGAGUGAAGAAGGCCUUCGGGUUGUAAAGCUCUUUUGUCAGGGAAGAAACAGGUUAUGCUAAUACCAUGACUGAAUGACGGUACCUGAAGAAUAAGCACCGGCUAACUACGUGCCAGCAGCCGCGGUAAUACGUAGGGUGCGAGCGUUAAUCGGAAUUACUGGGCGUAAAGCGUGCGCAGGCGGUUGUGUAAGACAGGUGUGAAAUGCCCGGGCUUAACCUGGGGACUGCACUUGUGACUGCACGGCUGGAGUGUGUCAGAGGGGGGUAGAAUUCCACGUGUAGCAGUGAAAUGCGUAGAUAUGUGGAGGAAUACCGAUGGCGAAGGCAGCCCCCUGGGAUAACACUGACGCUCAUGCACGAAAGCGUGGGGAGCAAACAGG